This 301-nucleotide ribosomal RNA is filed under the name uncultured bacterium. RNAcentral describes it as "partial 16S ribosomal RNA". It matches the Rfam family "Bacterial small subunit ribosomal RNA", at positions 509 to 807 of the family's 1533-position model. The record is from RNAcentral.
CAGUCGCCACGGUAAUACGUAGGGUGCGAGCGUUAAUCGGAAUUACUGGGCGUAAAGCGUGCGCAGGCGGUUUUGUAAGACAGGCGUGAAAUCCCCGGGCUCAACCUGGGAAUGGUGCUUGUGACUGCAAAGCUAGAGUGCGGCAGAGGGGGAUGGAAUUCCGCGUGUAGCAGUGAAAUGCGUAGAUAUGCGGAGGAACACCGAUGGCGAAGGCAAUCCCCUGGGCCUGCACUGACGCUCAUGCACGAAAGCGUGGGGAGUAAACAGGAUUAGAUACCCGGGUAGUCCCUGUCUCUUAUAC